Molecule: long non-coding RNA, 4859 nt
Filed under: Marmota monax (woodchuck)
Lineage: Eukaryota; Metazoa; Chordata; Mammalia; Rodentia; Sciuridae
Source: RNAcentral
AUCCCACGCGUCAGUUUUUCGUCGUGAGGCAUUCAUAAGCUUUCGCCCCUCCAGGCUCAUCUCCGGGGAUUCUCAAGACCCCAACACGCCCCAUUCUUCCUUGCUUGGCUCACGACUUCCCCGAGCUCCGGGAUGCGGUGUCCCACCUCCGUCCACCCCCUCAGUUCUACUCCAGAGCUCAUCACGUCUGCCUUUGGAGCCACCUUCUCCAGGAGGCCUCCCCGCCAGCCUCCCUAUUUCCCACUUUUGCGCAUCUUUGGUCUCUGGAACGUGAAACGGAUUACAAGACAGGAAGUGCCACUUAUUUUCCCAGGCUGAGGGCUGGGGCCCGCAUUGGGUUCAGGGCUGGCAGCGACCGGGGGUAGGUGGGACGCGUUGUUUGGUACAUUUUCAACUGACCGGUGUUCUCUGUCGCGCCGGAGAGGCUGGGCGAGGGCAAGCGAGCGGCAAACGAUGCCCGAUUCCGGGAUCUUCGGUGCCUCUCCUGUUUUGGGGUCAACUGGCGGGACCUGCUCCGCACAGGCACAAGGCCCUGGACUAUUAUACCCCGAGGGGCCCUGCUCCAGGGAGAUGGGAGUGUCCGCACCCUCGUGCGUCUCGGCUCGGGCACCUCCCAAGGGAGGCUGGGCCGAAGUUCCAGCGCCCUCGCGCGGGGAGGGAAGGUCUGUUCCCAGCUCUCGGGCCCGGGAACUGCGGUUGACCUAAAAGGAACCAAGAAACCUUGUCCUCAUCCCGCCUUCUUUAUUUUACAGCUGGAGAGACUGAGGUCCAGAGAGGGUCCAGGACUCGGCUGCCUGCCUCUGGCGCUGCGCUUCCAGGCCCGUCGGUCGCUGGGUGAUUUCGGGUUAGCCUCUCUCCAUAGCCGGUGCUUCAGGCUCUGUUUAUUCGACUCUAGAAUGGGGCGCCCUCUGAGAGUGUCUUUCUUAUGAAACAAGCUCAGAUGGCUGCCUUGCCUCUUUCCGAGGGCUCGAACUAGCACCAUAGAGACUAGAGGUGUGGUGGCAGCGGCCAGGAUGGGCGGAGGGGAGUGGAUCAACAUGAAUAGAAGGAGUGGCUGUGUCCAGUGGAGAGACGGAGAGGGCUGCGCGUCUACACAAGUGAAGCAGAGCUUGCAGCGGCUUGAACGAAAUCUGAUUCCAGGCGUCUGCUGACCAGCAGGUGCGCUGGAGUUUCUGAGGACCUGCUGGGAUUUCCCUCCAGUUCCUGACUGCUGUUGGGGUGGGCUUGAGGAGAGCCGGUAAAGCAUGAGCACUCUGGCCCCUCCUGGGUUCCUCUUACUUGUGGUGUACCCUGGCUGUCUACUUUCCCUCCUUUCUCUUUUCCAGCAUUCCGUCACCCCUCACCUCCUCCUCUCCCCUCUUUUGUCGACCUUCUUUCAAUGAUCCUCUAUGAACCACUGGCUAUGCCCUGGAUCCUGUGCUAUGCACUGGUGGCAUAGAGGUGGAUACCUCUGAGGCACUCCCUUAACAGAGGAGGACCUGGGUAGUUAUUGCUCUCCCUAUAGUUUCCACCUCCUUUUCAUUAAUCAGGGAGCUUCCCAACAUGUGGGACUGGAAGUGUCUCUGCUCUGGUCUUUCUGGGGUUUGGACCCAACCACUCAGUGAAGGUAGUGUUUGAAUGAUUGCUGGCCAGUUCCUCAACUGUCAGUAUUCCUGGGGGCAACACUGUUUGCUCAGGACUUAGCUUCUGCUUAUGACCCUGUGUACCACCUUUCAGGCCUCAGUACCCAGCAGGGCAGUUGCAUCAUGUCUUUAUUCUGAGGAGUCAUCUCUGCUGGUGCGGCACCCAGGAGCCCUUGAUGUGAACAGCAAAUCUGUGCAUCUUGGCUCUCAUAACCACCACCACCCCUUUCACACACACAUUGCCUAGCCAGCUGCAGGAUGCUGGUAUCUCACUGAUGAUGGGAUAUCCUCCUGGCCUGUUGACGUUCUCCUGUUCUCUCUGAGAUCAGUGUUCUCAGGCACUUGAGAGAGUACUGAGAGGGAUGAGGAUUGGGGAAUAGGAGGGACCCCACUUUGCCAUGUGACCCUUACCAGGUGGCUGUUGGACAGGGUAAGAAGGGAGAGAGAGAGAGAAUCUUAAAGUCAUCAGUGAGAACGGGAUACCCUGUCUACACGAAUCCCCUCUUCAAUUGAGGGCUGGAUGGCCGUGCUGGAGCAGAGAGGGAGACUAAUAGUGCCUCCUUGUGUCCUUGUAGUCCUCCUCCCAGAAAAGGGAAGGUGACUCAGGGAGAAUAGUUUUGCAGUAGAUUCUUUGCAAUGAAGAUCAUUUCUUUGUUCUUUCAGAAUUGUUCCUCUGGGGGAUCCACCCUUUCUUACUAUCUGAGGUCCCAAAACAUAUUCAGAAGUGAAAAGGAGCAGAGAAGAGAAAAAUAGCAGAAAUAAACAAAAACCUAAAAAAAAUUCAACCAAGGCUAAACUUGACCAUGCUUCAACUAAUUGCUCCAAAACGUCUUGUCCUGUGUUCUCAGACACUGGGGAAACCAAACAUGGACUCACUCUUGGGGAGUUCUGAUGAGGAAGCCAUUUUUUGCUUACUCAGGUGACCUGAGGAGGCUUCUGAGAGGGGAGGAAGUGGAGGUGGGAGAGACAGGCUACAGGGAGUGGAAGUAGUUACGUGGGAUGUCUGUUCCCCACCCUGCUACACUGUGCCAAGUCUGAGCUCCUCUAGUGGCCUUACAGUACAGACUGGGGAGGAGGGCCACAGACACCUCCUGCUCCCAGUCCCCAUGUCCUUCUGCAUUUUCUGAGCAUUUCGUUCAGAGUUCUCCCCACCUGGAUUCCUGGCAUUUCCCCCUAGACUUUGGUUCAAGCUCCCGCCUCCCUCCUGCUUUUCAGAAUCACAGGGGUUCAGAGGAUGCAGGAAGUGGGGGAAAAGAGAUGGAAACAGAAUCACUUGCCAUCCCCCGUGACAACAGGCACAGCACAAGGGAAUCUGCAGUUACUCAUUGGGAGCCUGCCUGGCUUCCUGCCUGCCUCAUCCCUGCAGUGUGUGCCACCCUCGCCUCCUCCAGUCCUUCAGCCCCUCUCAGAAUCAUGCACACACUGUCUUAAAGAUCCUGCAUAGGAACUCAACGGUGGCAAGGUUCUUCAGUAGAGUGAGAAGGGUGGGGACCUAGAGUGGCCUUGACCUGCAUAAUGAAGGUCAGAGGAAAUGACCUGACCAGGGGAGUCGCCACUCCAGGAUUCUCCAUCCACAUUACUGUUAGGAUACAGGCAAGCUUUGCCUUCUCUGGAUUUCUGGACCAACACCUUAAAGUCUAUAUUCAUGGAAUGGGUCUGGCAGCUCCAGGGAUAUGGGGUGCUUACUACCUCCCCAGGCUGUUCCUUCUUUGGGGGCCAUUUCUUUCUGUGUGUAGGUAUAUUUUAACUCCAACUUGUGGUUUAGUGGAGGGUAGGAGAUCCCUUUGGUAAUAGCAUGGAUUUUGUUCAUUCAUUCACCUCUCACGUAUCACUUAUCCUGGUCUGGCCUUGUGAUGGGGCUAGGGAUUUGAGAAUCACUUAGACACAUCCCCUUCAGGAGAUUCUAGCAUUGCUUGGGCAGGGGUUAGGGAGGAACUCUUGCUGUUGCUAAAGGUGCAUUUAGGAAGAAAACAAAGUUCAUGGAGUACAGGUGAUAAAGAAAGAAUUGUUCAGACUGCCAGAUACAGAAAUAAAGCCCAGGGACCAGUUCUAGAAAGGCCAAUCAUUGAUCCUGAAAAAUGGGACUUAGAGCUGUGUGGGGGAGAGGGAGUGUCAACUAUAGGUACCUCAGUUUAGCUUGUCCUGGGAGCUUGUCCUGGAAGUUUAUUGGAUGGCAGGGGGACCCUAUGAAAGAUAGAGGAGAAAGAAGAAUUGGGCAGAGAGAUCCUUGGACGUUGUACAGAUCUGAAAGUAAAUUCCUGCCAACCCAAUUGUGAGUCCCAGAACAAAGAUUGCACAUAGAAGCCUUAGUCACUCUACUGUGCUUGGUCAAUGGUUGGGGUUGUCAAGAAGAACAUAGUCAUGGCUUAAAUGCUGUGGUGGGCCCUGAAGGUAAUAUAGCUAAGGCUGUCACAUGGCAUGCCCUAUAGCUAAAUGGCACAGGAAAUCCCACAGUGGGGAAACUGAGGCUUGGGAAAUGAAACAGGGAGGGGAGAUUCUGCCAUGCUCUAGGGGAUAAAGAGGAGAACUUGGUCUGCCCUUGGGAGCUCUUAGUCUAGGCACAGAGAAGAAUGACCUGAGAAUUCCUUUCCUCACAAUCAUGGGCUCAGUUUGGUCCAGGGGUCAGCAGUCUAUCACCAGGCAGCUUGGCAUGAGGGUCAUGGUGCCUUGAGUCUGGGAGACUGAAGAGGGAGGGACUGUUCCCUCCCAUUUAUUCUCCAAUAACAGCCACAGACUCUGGUCAAAUGCUUACUGCAGCAGGUACGAGUAUGUCUAUGCAUGUGGGUGUGUGUGCAUGCAUGUAUGCACGUGUAUGCCUUUCCAUAUGUGUCCGUGUCUGUAUGUGUCCUUGUGUAUGGGCAUGGGUCUGUACGGAUUCAUCUGUUCCCAGGUGGGAGUCAGAGUAGGGCUUGGCUGGUUCCCAGGAGAGUAGAGCUGGGGAAAGCUAGGGUCAGAGAGGGAUGAAUCUCAGAGAUGGUGCCCAGGACCACAGACAUCUCCAAACUGUUUCUCAGAGCUCAUUUCUGGGGCAGUAGAUUCCACAGGGAAUGGCAUAUUCAACCAUAGGGAAAGUUCAGAAUGACUCCACAGGGGAGCUCAAAGUUCUCAUUCACUUCCCUACUCCAAGGCCUGUCUUCCUGAGUUGGUAUGUCAUUGACCUUGGGCAGAGAUUUGGAAGAGAGACAUAAUGUGAGUGUGACAAAAUAGACAUUGACUUUAAAUAAACAUAAUGCCACC